This 429-nucleotide ribosomal RNA is filed under the name Fusobacteriota bacterium. RNAcentral describes it as "Fusobacteria bacterium partial 16S ribosomal RNA". It matches the Rfam family "Bacterial small subunit ribosomal RNA", at positions 355 to 776 of the family's 1533-position model. Lineage: Bacteria; Fusobacteriati; Fusobacteriota. The record is from RNAcentral.
UGGGGAAUAUUGCGCAAUGGGCGAAAGCCUGACGCAGCGAUGCCGCGUGAGGGAUGAAGGUUUUCGGAUCGUAAACCUCUGUCAGAAGGGAAGAAACCGCACUGUGCUAAUCAGCAGUGCCUUGACGGUACCUUCAAAGGAAGCACCGGCUAACUCCGUGCCAGCAGCCGCGGUAAUACGGAGGGUGCAAGCGUUAAUCGGAAUUACUGGGCGUAAAGCGCACGUAGGCUGCUUUGUAAGUCAGGGGUGAAAUCCCACGGCUCAACCGUGGAACUGCCUUUGAUACUGCUUAGCUUGAAUCCGGGAGAGGGUGGCGGAAUUCCAGGUGUAGGAGUGAAAUCCGUAGAUAUCUGGAGGAACAUCAGUGGCGAAGGCGGCCACCUGGACCGGUAUUGACGCUGAGGUGCGAAAGCGUGGGGAGCAAACAGG